This 276-nucleotide unclassified non-coding RNA is filed under the name Hevea brasiliensis (rubber tree). Lineage: Eukaryota; Viridiplantae; Streptophyta; Magnoliopsida; Malpighiales; Euphorbiaceae. The record is from RNAcentral.
GUUUUUGAUGAUGUAGAUGAUGCAAAUCAUUUAAAAAAUUUGGCAGGAGAGUGUGAUUUGUACAGUGAGAAAAGUAGAAUCAUAGUAAGUAGCAGAGAUCAGCAAGUACUUAAAAAUGUUAGUUCAGAGGAAUGCAUAUACGAGGUUGAGAAACUAAUUGAUUUUGAAGAUCUUAAACUCUUUAGCUUGCAUGCGUUCAAGCAAAAUCAUCCCAAGAAAGGAUAUAUGGAGCUAUCAAAGCAGGCAAUAACUUAUGCUGGAGGCAAUCCAUUAGCU